RNAcentral lists this long non-coding RNA (658 nucleotides) under Vigna radiata. RNAcentral's name for it is "long non-coding RNA (VRAD_LNC013170)". Lineage: Eukaryota; Viridiplantae; Streptophyta; Magnoliopsida; Fabales; Fabaceae. The record is from RNAcentral.
AUGCAAAUGCCAUCAAAAGGACUUUUCCAAGGCUUGUAAUGAGGCUGGGCUAACAAGAAAGUUGGUAUUUCUGGAAUGCAAAGUCCUUGAGUUAAGAGAGCUACCAAAGUAUUCAACAUUCAAGCACAACACUCUUCCUCACCAAUCUCUCUUAUUCCCAAAUUUUUCCCCUUUUCUUUUGCAUUGAGCCCAUUUUCAUGCUUUUUCUUCUUUUCUUUUCUUUUUCUCAUAUAUUUUUCUUUCACAACAUUUGAGCUCAAUGCUUUUUCAAUUUCCUUUCAGUUUCCCCCAUGCAACCCCAAACUUGAACCUUUUCACCACAUACAAUGAAGCUCAUCCCAACUCAAGGUAAAGAAUUUNAGGAUAAGGGUUCACAUCCUGUUUAAGGCUAAGGUUCAAAAAGCGUGUAACAUUUUCAAGCACUUUGGGUGAAAAUUUGGCUAGAGAAGGGUUUUCAAAAGUGGCCUUGAUCAUAUGACAUUUACAUGCAAUUCAAUCAAUCAUCAAGAUUAAGGUAAUAUCAUUCAUGCUUUCCUGUGAACAAUACGUACAACAAUGAAAACUCUGGAGCUUAAUACCUCACACAACAUGCUUUCUCACACAAUAUUCAUUCAUGCACCCUACCUAGCAUCAUAAUCACAAUCGUAAUCCUUCGCCC